This 301-nucleotide ribosomal RNA is filed under the name uncultured bacterium. RNAcentral describes it as "partial 16S ribosomal RNA". It matches the Rfam family "Bacterial small subunit ribosomal RNA", at positions 509 to 807 of the family's 1533-position model. The record is from RNAcentral.
CAGUCGCCGCGGGAAUACGAAGGGGGCUAGCGUUGUUCGGAUCUACUGGGCGUAAAGCGCACGUAGGCGGAUUCUUAAGUCAGAGGUGAAAUCCCAAGGCUCAACCUUGGAACUGCCUUUGAUACUGGGGAUCUUGAGUCCGGGAGAGGUGAGUGGAACUGCGAGUGUAGAGGUGAAAUUCGUAGAUAUUCGCAAGAACACCAGUGGCGAAGGCGGCUCACUGGCCCGGUACUGACGCUGAGGUGCGAAAGCGUGGGGAGCAAACAGGAUUAGAUACCCCGGUAGUCCCUGUCUCUUAUAC